This is a long non-coding RNA of Octopus bimaculoides (California two-spot octopus), 3941 nucleotides long. Lineage: Eukaryota; Metazoa; Mollusca; Cephalopoda; Octopoda; Octopodidae. The record is from RefSeq and is a predicted model, not a curated record.
AAGUUAUAGUAGAAGACACUUGCCCAGAGUGCCAUGUAGUGGGACUGAACCUGAAACUAUAUGGUUGGGAAACAAGCUUCUUAACCACACAGCCGCAUCUGCACCUAUAAGACAUGGAUAUUAAAAUUUUAAAACAAGAUUCAGGACAGAUCAAUCACUAGGGGACUUUAUAAAUCAGAAAUACGGGUUAUUACAUAACUCACUGAGCUACAUAAUCAUGUAUUGCCAGUAGGUUUUGCAGAUUUAGAAACUUUUGGAGUGUAUGAAUUUAAUGAUAUAAUAUUAUUAGUGUCUCAUGAAAUCCUUUUAUUGGAAAAGUUUCACUAACUAUAAGUAUCCUCCUCUAUUUAUCUUUCAGACCUGUUUCAUUACAAUCUCUCUAACUUAUUUGAAGUCAAGUAAAUAAAAACAUAGCUAACACCCAUUUGUACAUGUUCUAACACCAUUCUCAUUCGUAAAUAUCAUGUCCAACCACACUAAUUAAGAGAAUCUAUGAGAGACUAAUAGUCACAAAUCAUUAUUUAAUCCUGUAAAGUUUUUCUCCAUUUAGUUGGACUGAAUCAACAAGUUUUUAUGUUUUGAUUGCCUCAAGUUAUAAAAUCAGAAAGUCUAUUCAGAAAUGCAUUCAUUCAUACAAUAAUCUUCAAUUGAUUUCAGGAAAAAAAAAAAACUGCACCACACCAUUAGAACGAACUAUCAGACUACUAACAGUGUCAACUAUCCAGUUGUAUGCUGCACUAAAUGGUAAAUAAAGUCAACCGUAGAAGUUGCACACAACCUGCAUAUGUGCAUUCAGAUUACCUCCCUUAAUCUAGACCAGUCUAUUUCUCAGACAUCAGGAACAUGUCAUAACUUCUUGAUUGCUAUGUCUUGUAUAAGAAGAUAAUAAGGAGAACUGUUCAAAGUCAUUGUUGAUUUCACAGCUGUAGAAAAGGGAAAGUCUUUAGCUUCACAAUCACUCUGACAAUAUUAUUUAUUUCAAACAUAGCAAAUAUACCAAGUGGCAGGUACAGAAAUGUUUUUUUUUAAAUCGGUCACACAUAUUUUAUUUUUUUCCCUCCUCUUCUGAAAGCUGCAAACAACUGUACUUGUGCAGCCGCAUGCGCAGGUGCACAUAGCAGAACUGCAAGUGUAAGUAUAGAUGCACAAGAUGGUAGUUAGAAGUAAUCAGACAUUAAUGAAAACGAAGAAAGUAAUAUGCCAGUGUCUGGUAUUUCUAUUCCAUGGAACAGGUCUAGAAAUGAUAUCAACAUAAGAAAAUAAGGGAUUCAACAAUUAUUUCUACUUUUUCCAACAGAGAACAGUGACAACAUUAAUCUUAAUUGGUUAAACAACUGACUUUUUUAUUCUUUAUAUUUUGUUCAUUUGUUUCUAGUUUUGUUUUGGUUGUUUGUUUGUUUUGUUUGUUUUUUCACCAGAUAAAUUCAAUUAACAUAGGCACAGACCAACCAGUUGAAAAUUGGGUUGUGGGAAAGUUCAUGAAUAUAAAGAAAUUGCAAAACCAAUAUAUAUAUAUAUAUAUAUAUAUAUAUAUAUAUAAACAUACACACACACACACUUUAUAUAUAUAUAUAUAUGUAUAUAUUUACACAUAUGUGUGUUGUAAGUCCUCUUGCUCUUUUCUCAACUUAAAUGUUUCCAACUUAUUAAUUAUAUCAAGAUAAUUUUAUGAACAAAAUUAUCAACAGAUAAUCAUGAUAUUCUUUAAAAGACUUGGAGCUUCAUAUUAAUAUUUACUGAAGCGAUAAACAUUAUUUUAUAAAACCAUAGUUAUAGUGUGUGCGCGUGCAUGCACACGUGCACAUGUGUGUGUAACAAUUUUAAUUGAAGGAAAAGUCAACUUAGGAGAUUCCUCUAUUUGAUUAAAAUACAAAACUUUUUAUAAAUCUUGGAAAUUUGAGUGAGUGAAGAGAUAUUUCAAUUCAAGCAUCAGCUACUACACUGUUUCUUUGUUCAGUACCAUACUAAUAAUUGUGUUUCACUGAACCCAUAUCAAUUACUAUGGAUGAAAUAGAGAUAACAACGUCAGCACAAUGAUCAGUAUGUGAUGUGAACUGACAUAAACAACAGAAACUAAAAAUGCAGCAAAGAACAAACUUCUAUCAGGAAUUGGUCAACUAAGAUAUUUGGAAUUGUUCAAAGGAAGAAAGGAAAGAAAUCUUAUUGAAAGAUUGAAAAGUGCAAUAGCAGGAUCUCUACUUUCAGCCCAUUUCCUUUACUAACCAUAAAAUUAUAUUUAUCCAAAAUCUAAAAUAAUAUCAUUAUGUAAAUUUUCAUAGGCUAUUGAGCUAAUAAAAGGUGUGUGUGUGUGUGUGUGUGUGUGUGUGUGCUCGUGUGUGCAUGUACGUGCUGUGUGUAUGAGAAGUGGGGUGAGAUAAUUUUCAAGUUCAUGUUUUUUAACUAAAUCCAUAUUCAAAAUAUAUAAAAACUGAAACUGGAUUAAAAAUUCCCUCAGCUUGUAUUUGAAAAUUGUGUCCAACAUGAAAUUGUAGUUAAAAAAAAAUAAUCGGAACAUUAUGUUUUGCGAUCCCAGAGUUCUACUGAACAUGACAAUAUGGAGGAGAUACUCACAACAUACUAACUAAACAUUUACUAUUGGAUUCAUAUUUUGUAUUUAUAUAGUAGAAAAUAUCCCAAACUGAAAUGUUAUUCCAAACCAAACAACUCGAAAUAAUGAAUGGCACUAAUUAAAUUAUUUUCAAAUACAUCAAUACACUCGUUAACCCCUGAUGGCAUAAAGAAUUGAAGAACAUUUUCGCAAGAAGACAGCUUAUUUUAUUUUAGGACUUGGUAGAUGAAGUGAUCACUUACUUUCUCAACAAGGUUAACAAAUAGAUUCAUUAGAAAAAGUAACAACAGAUUGUUAUCAACUUUACACAUAAUGAGGAAGAUAUGUAAAUAUUUCUAAUAAAAACAAGUGUCUCCCAACUGACUGCACAAUAUCUAACAUAAACCUACAUCACCAGUUCAAUAAAGCUGUCUUCAGAUACACUGGAAAAAGAUACUUUGCAUGGGGAAUGUGAAAAUAUUUAGUCAAAACAAAACAAAACAUUAAUGAAUUGGAUAUGAUGGCUGAAGGUGAAUGGAGUAAGAUUAAUGGCUAAUGGCUGUGAGAGUUAUUAGAAUUGAUGCUGCAGAUAGCCUUAGCAAACCUCUAACCUCAUCUGUUGUUAUGUAUACAACACUCUUCAGUUUCAUAGUAAAAAUUCGAGAAUGAAUCUUAGAAAGCAAAAGAGAAUGAAAACAUUAGAUGAAGCAAUUCAGAACUUGUACAGUGGGGGGUGGGGGGUGCGCGCGUGUACAUUCAUAUUUAUUAUUCUAUGAUUCUGUGUAUACAAGUUGUGAAAAGUUAUUUACAGAAGUGCCAUUAUAAUGUUGUUAUUUUCCUAUUGUAGAUGAUUGUAGCUGUAAUUGGUUACAGCAUCAAUGUCAUUAGGACAGUGUGACCUUGCUGUGCUGUUGUUCUACAUAGCAAUUGAUUCAGGUCAUAACAGUCUUUCUACGAUACUAACAUCUCGAAGGAAUGGUAGAGGCAGAGAGUUGUAAAGGAUUUCUCUGUAGCAAGUUGGAGGUAAAAGUGAAGUGCUAUAUUCUAGAAAUACAAAUAGUUAAUGCGUACAUGUUGUAAAACAGCAGCAGCCUAGUUUCCCAGAAUAGAACACCUGCUGCUGCUGCUGCUGCUGCAUGUGAUGAUGUCAGAUAAUAUCAACAUCUCUUACUAAACAAACUUUCAAUACUGAAAUGAUCAGCUAGCAAGGCCAAUAAUUAGAUUCCAAUGAAUAACAUAAUAAAAUGGACAGCAGGUAACUUAUAUCAUUAAAAUUAAGAAAUAUCAAUUACUCAAACUGAAAACAUAAAUAUUUAAUUCAUUGAACUCAAAUAUAUCUUUGCAAGGAAAAACAGAUGACUAACUAAACAGUGUGUUGUUGAGACAUUUGAAA